This 253-nucleotide ribosomal RNA is filed under the name uncultured bacterium. RNAcentral describes it as "partial 16S ribosomal RNA". It matches the Rfam family "Bacterial small subunit ribosomal RNA", at positions 524 to 776 of the family's 1533-position model. The record is from RNAcentral.
UACAGAGGUCCCGAGCGUUGUUCGGAUUCACUGGGCGUAAAGGGUGCGUAGGUGGCUAGGUAAGUUUGAUGUGAAAGCUCUGGGCUCAACCCAGAAAUGGCAUUGAAUACUAUCUAGCUAGAGGAGUGGAGGGGGGACUGGAAUACUUGGUGUAGCAGUGAAAUGCGUAGAUAUCAAGUGGAACACCAGUGGCGAAGGCGAGUCCCUGGACACUUCCUGACACUGAGGCACGAAAGCUAGGGGAGCAAACAGG